UUUGACUUAAUUAAUACUUCCUCCGUUCAACGUUUGACCGUUCGUCUUAUUUAAAAUUUUUUUAUGAUUAGUAUUUUUAUUGCUAUUAGAUGAUAAAAAAUGAAUAUUACUUUAUGUGUGACUAAAUAUUUUUAAAUUUUUCAAAUAAGACGGACGGUCAAACGUGGGGUACGGAUAUCCACGAAUAUAUUUAUU
This is a non-coding RNA of Oryza glaberrima (African rice), 195 nucleotides long. The record is from Rfam. NCBI's taxonomy places the organism in Eukaryota, Viridiplantae, Streptophyta, Magnoliopsida, Poales, Poaceae.